This is a non-coding RNA of Acidovorax sp. KKS102, 102 nucleotides long. The record is from Rfam. NCBI's taxonomy places the organism in Bacteria, Pseudomonadati, Pseudomonadota, Betaproteobacteria, Burkholderiales, Comamonadaceae.
UUGCCCAAGGAGCGUUGCAGCGGCCCCACCGCCAUGGUGAAGCCGUCAGGCUUGGGCACUCCACAAGCUUUUCAAGCCCCACCGCAACGACGCUCACCUGUU